This 202-nucleotide long non-coding RNA is filed under the name Mytilus galloprovincialis (Mediterranean mussel). The record is from RNAcentral. Lineage: Eukaryota; Metazoa; Mollusca; Bivalvia; Mytilida; Mytilidae.
CACCUGUGUUUACAGGUACACAGGGACCUCAAUAGACUAGAAUAAGCUAGUCUAAAACAGAGAAUGGUUUAAACACGGGUGUACUUUAUAUUCAGAAGUUAUUAUCUAAAGGGGAAGAGUUUUAAUUAGGUUAAAGGGAUCAAAACAUCUCACUAUCUUUAAUCUCAAGAAUAAAACGUAUAAAUACUUAAAUAGGGGGAGG